AAGACUAUAGACCUGCGGAGUACCUGCGGAAGGAUCAUUACUGAGUAACGUGGUCUUCAUGACCCGGUACCCGCCCUUUGUCAUAUGUUGGAAGAGGUCGUCUUUAGGGGCGGCCUCCGACCCCACUUCCCGGGAGGCGUUACGCCCCAUCGAAACUUGUGUUCUUUGGGGAUGUGACCGCCCGGGGUCUUUUUCAAACCCUUUGUGAGAAAUCUGAAGUCUGAAGCGAAAGCUUAAAAA
This 240-nucleotide unclassified non-coding RNA is filed under the name soil metagenome. RNAcentral describes it as "partial contains 5.8S ribosomal RNA, internal transcribed spacer 2, and large subunit ribosomal RNA". The record is from RNAcentral.